AGAUGUAAUAUAUUUGAAAAAAUGAAGGCUAGUCUUUAAUGGAUUGAGUAUCUUGUUCUUCGGUUGAUAUUUCUAAAUACCUUACAUUUUAAGAAUUUUGUCUUUUGUUUUAUUGGCCAUAUUGAGGUUGGCUACCAUUUGAUGGAAUAAAUCCUUAUUGAAUAUUUAAAAUUGAUGAAAGAUGUUGGAUUUAAUGAUUAUUAUUAUAAUUAUAGAAUAAAUUAGGAGGUCUU
This 233-nucleotide long non-coding RNA is filed under the name Physcomitrium patens. RNAcentral's name for it is "long non-coding RNA (PPAT_LNC012687)". Lineage: Eukaryota; Viridiplantae; Streptophyta; Bryopsida; Funariales; Funariaceae. The record is from RNAcentral.